CAGUCGCCGCGGGAAUACGAAGGGUGCAAGCGUUAAUCGGAAUUACUGGGCGUAAAGCGUGCGUAGGCGGUUUGUUAAGUCUGCUGUGAAAUCCCCGGGCUCAACCUGGGAAUGGCAGUGGAUACUGGCAAGCUAGAGUGCGUCAGAGGAUGGUGGAAUUCCCGGUGUAGCGGUGAAAUGCGUAGAGAUCGGGAGGAACAUCAGUGGCGAAGGCGGCCAUCUGGGACAACACUGACGCUGAGGCACGAAAGCGUGGGGAGCAAACAGGAUUAGAUACCCCAGUAGUCCCUGUCUCUUAUAC
Molecule: ribosomal RNA, 301 nt
Filed under: uncultured bacterium
Lineage: Bacteria
Description: partial 16S ribosomal RNA
Rfam family: Bacterial small subunit ribosomal RNA
Source: RNAcentral